AGAACGGUCGCCGCGUCGCCUCAGCACGGACCUCCAGGGAGCUCCUCAGCAAGAUCCUGCCAGGGCGCCCCUCAGCGCGAUUCUGCCGGGGUGCCUCUCAGCGUGGUCCUCCCCGGGGCUCCUCAGCACGAUUCUCCCGGUGCGCCCCUCAGCGCGGUCCUCCUCGGUGCGUCAGUCAUCGUGGUUCUCCCCGGCGCGCCCCUCGGCGCGGUUCUCCUCGGGGCUCCUCAGCGCGGCGCUCUUCUGGGGGCUCCUCGGCGCAGUUCUCCCCGGGGACUCCUCGGCGCCGUUCUCCUCGGGGCACCCGGGGCUUUUCGGCGCGGUUCUCCCCGGGGGUUCUUCGGCGCGGUUGUCCCCGGGGGUUCUUCGGCGCGGUUCUCUCCGGGGGCCUCUCGCCGCGGUUCUGUUCUCCCCGGGGGCUCCUCAGCAUGGUUCUCCUCCGCGCGGUCCUCCCUGGGCCUCCUCAGCGCGGCACUCUCCUGGGGGCUCCUCAGCGCGGCACUCUCCCCGGGGGCUCCUCAGCGCGGCACUCUCCCGGCGGCUCCUCAGUGCGGUUCUCCCAGACUCUCCUCAGCGCGGCCCUCCCCAUCUCUCUGGGAGGGUUUGAACACGGUCAGCACGGACCUGGGCGGACGGCGCGGGACGGGUGAUCACUGGCGUUGCUGAGGAAAUGUGCUCACCCAUGAGACAGGGAUGGCAAGAAGAUAUGAAUGAAAAGCAACCAGUCCGUAAAAUUGGAAGCCAUUUCACUCCUUACCAGGUACAAAGAUAACAUGCUGCAUGGAUCAGGGACACAAACUUACCUACCUUAUGAUGUAGUGAAAGAAUCUAAAACUUUUGUCUCAGCAGACUCCCUGGAGGAAGCCAAUAACAGGAGGCCUUGACUAGGAGACCUCAAGCCUUGGAAUGUGCCCAGACCAGUGGGGAGGGAAGGCUGGGAGGCAGUCCUCCCUUACCCCUUUUCUCCCAGGCAGACCUACCCUGGGUUCUCUCCAGGCCCCUCCGCCUGAGCAAGUGCUCAGUUGGCCACUAGCUCCCUGCACAUCCAACAAGCCUUUCUUUCCUGUUCCUUCUUCAAGGAAGGCUUAGCCUCAAAUCCAGGGCCACAGACAAAGGACAGUCACUCUCCUCUGCCAGAAAGUCAUUUAUGGGACAUGGAGAAAGCAUCAAAUAUAUUGCUUUUCCAACACCUAACAGUGGAAUAGGAGGAAUAGAAGGAGAACUCAGCCAGAAAGUUCUGGAGCAUAGUCUUUUUGCCAAAAGAACACGUUUUCAAAUGAAAGAGGUGGUGCUGGGGCACUGAGGAAUCAGGGGGAUGGACCCCACUGGAGCUUGUCUCAUGCUGGCAGCAAGUCCCAGGCCUCAAACACAUACCUGGGCCACCUCAGGAGAGAGACUGCAGGGAAGAAAUGAGUUGCAAUGCUCCAGCCUAACCAACUCCCCUUUUGUUAAUCCAAUCCCAGAAGGUACUGGGUAGGGUCAGUUAACAGACAGCUGCCUGUCUCCUGGCAGAGUCUGACCAAGCCCCAGUGGGCGCUUCUCUUCCUAAGUCCUCUGGUGUACCCCAUUCUUCAAGGGAAACGGUCCCCUUAAGAAUCUAUGUGAAAGGGUUCUGAAAUUGCUGUACCAGUUAAUGAAUUAUUUACUCUAAACAAUGUCUUGAUAAAGGGGGAGGAUGAAGUUAGCUGAUGUUGACUAAGGAGAGACGGAGUUGCCAAGGAAAUUCUUCUAAAUGAAAAAAAAA
Long non-coding RNA from Homo sapiens (human), 1744 nucleotides. Ensembl annotates it as KCNQ1 opposite strand/antisense transcript 1. Its record names the gene KCNQ1OT1. NCBI's taxonomy places the organism in Eukaryota, Metazoa, Chordata, Mammalia, Primates, Hominidae. The record is from Ensembl.